AGUCACUGACAUUAGAUACCCGCGUAGUCCAGGGUGUAAACGCUGCAGACUUGGUGUUGGGAACCCUUCGGGGGUGCUCAGUGCCGGAGAGAAGUUGUUAAGUCUGCUACUUGGGGAGUACGUCCGCAAGGAUGAAACUUAAAGGAAUUGGCGGGGGAGCACCGCAACGGGAGGAGCGUGCGGUUUAAUUGGAUUCAACACCGUAAAACUCACCAGGGAAGACUGUUACAUGAAGGCCGAGAUGAAGACUCUGCUAGAUUUUUCAG
RNAcentral lists this ribosomal RNA (266 nucleotides) under uncultured archaeon. Its description in RNAcentral is "partial 16S ribosomal RNA". It matches the Rfam family "Archaeal small subunit ribosomal RNA", at positions 716 to 982 of the family's 1478-position model. The record is from RNAcentral.